Long non-coding RNA from Lagopus leucura (white-tailed ptarmigan), 100 nucleotides. RefSeq lists it as uncharacterized. NCBI's taxonomy places the organism in Eukaryota, Metazoa, Chordata, Aves, Galliformes, Phasianidae. The record is from RefSeq and is a predicted model, not a curated record. The transcript is spliced from 3 exons.
CUCUCUUCUGGCCUGAAGAUCCUGCCAGACCUGGCUUCCAUCUAUUCUGGAUUUAUGGUGACCUCCUGUGGACCUCAAUCAUUGGAUCAAUACACUUCUG